This 323-nucleotide ribosomal RNA is filed under the name uncultured eukaryote. RNAcentral describes it as "partial 18S ribosomal RNA". It matches the Rfam family "Eukaryotic small subunit ribosomal RNA", at positions 1470 to 1796 of the family's 1831-position model. The record is from RNAcentral.
CCCUUAGAUGUUCUGGGAUGCACGCGCGUUACACUGAUUCGUUCAACGAGUUUAUGACCUUGCCUGAUGAGGUGGGGGAAUCUUUUCAAAUCGCAUCGUGAUGGGGACAGAGUAUUGUAACUGUUAGUCUUCAACGAGGAAUUCCUAGUAAGUACGUGUCAACUCGUACUGAUUAUGUCCCUGCCCUUUGUACACACCGCCCGUCGCUCCUACCGAUUGAGUGCUCAGGUGAAUAGUAUGGACUGCAUCAGUGUUCGGUCUCCGAAUGUUGACGCGAGAAAUUCUGUGAAUCUUAUUGCUUAGAGGAAGGAGAAGUCGUAACA